RNAcentral lists this ribosomal RNA (497 nucleotides) under uncultured bacterium. RNAcentral describes it as "partial 16S ribosomal RNA". It matches the Rfam family "Bacterial small subunit ribosomal RNA", at positions 28 to 507 of the family's 1533-position model. The record is from RNAcentral.
GAUGAACGCUGGCGGCGUGCCUAAUACAUGCAAGUCGAGCGAACAGACGAGGAGCUUGCUCCUCUGACGUUAGCGGCGGACGGGUGAGUAACACGUGGAUAACCUACCUAUAAGACUGGGAUAACUUCGGGAAACCGGAGCUAAUACCGGAUAAUAUAUUGAACCGCAUGGUUCAAUAGUGAAAGACGGUUUUGCUGUCACUUAUAGAUGGAUCCGCGCCGCAUUAGCUAGUUGGUAAGGUAACGGCUUACCAAGGCAACGAUGCGUAGCCGACCUGAGGGGGUGGAUGGCCAGACUGGAACAGAGGCACGGUCCAGACUCCUACAGGGAGAAACAGGAGGGAAUCUUCCGGAAUGGGCGAAAGCCUGACAGAGCAACGCCGGCGGAGGCAUGAAGGUCUUCUGAUCGGAAAACUCUGUUAUUAGGGAAGAACAAAAGUUUUAGUAACUAUGCACGUCUUGACAGUACCUAAACAAAAAGCCACGGCUAACUACGUG